UACGAAGGGUGCAAGCGUUAAUCGGAAUUACUGGGCGUAAAGCGCGCGUAGGUGGUUGGGUAAGUUGGAUGUGAAAGCCCCGGGCUCAACCUGGGAACUGCAUCCAAAACUGCCUGGCUAGAGUACGGUAGAGGGUGGUGGAAUUUCCUGUGUAGCGGUGAAAUGCGUAGAUAUAGGAAGGAACACCAGUGGCGAAGGCGACCACCUGGACCGAUACUGACACUGAGGUGCGAAAGCGUGGGGAGCAAACAGGAUUAGAAACCCCAGUAGUCC
This 273-nucleotide ribosomal RNA is filed under the name uncultured bacterium. RNAcentral describes it as "partial 16S ribosomal RNA". It matches the Rfam family "Bacterial small subunit ribosomal RNA", at positions 524 to 796 of the family's 1533-position model. The record is from RNAcentral.